CAGUGUGACACAACAGGAAUGCUAAGACAGUGCUAAGAAAACACAGAGGGGGCAUCACAAGGCAUCAAACACAACCGAGAAGUGAAGAACAGCUUCUUGAAUUAGCUGAGGGAGUAAUGAAACAUGUUGCAGCAGAAACCGCGGCGAGCUUUAAGAUGAAGAGCUGCAGGCGACAAGCUGCACGCCUCCGACUCCUCAGCAAGAUGGGCGCCUUGGAACCAAUUGGUGUUGAAUAUCAGACAGGCUGGUGGUGUGUGCAGGGGUCGGAG
Molecule: long non-coding RNA, 269 nt
Organism: Acanthopagrus latus (yellowfin seabream)
Lineage: Eukaryota; Metazoa; Chordata; Actinopteri; Spariformes; Sparidae
Exons: 3
Source: RefSeq, a predicted model, not a curated record